Molecule: long non-coding RNA, 439 nt
Filed under: Bos taurus (domestic cattle)
Lineage: Eukaryota; Metazoa; Chordata; Mammalia; Artiodactyla; Bovidae
Description: long non-coding RNA NONBTAT020298
Source: RNAcentral
AAUAUGUAGUAUGACUGAUGGACUUUUUCAUCAUUAAAUUAGUCUAGCAUCUAAACUUUUACCACUGAAAUAAUAUUGACCAAAAAGCAAUUUAUAAAAGGUAUUUGUGAAUAGAAAAUACAAUGUGAUCAUUUGUACUUAUGUGCACCUUAAAAGAGGAAUUCUGUCUAGCUGUCAAAUUCUGGUUCCUUAACAUCCAGUCCUUGAUUGUGAUUGAGAUCUGGUAGGACGUGCUGGGGCACGCUAGCAGAUAAAAUCCCGUAUACUUUAGGAUAGAUGUUACAUUUAUGUCAGUGUUGGCAAAGAGCAUUGUGUAGUAAUAAAGAAUUCAAGACUUCAGCAAUGUCAACCUGAAACUUUGUAAAUAUUUCCUAGAUUGUUAUUUGAUGCAGUCACAGCUCUUUAUCACACAAUGUUGUCUUUCCCUCAUCAGGCAAUU